RNAcentral lists this ribosomal RNA (299 nucleotides) under uncultured eukaryote. RNAcentral describes it as "partial 18S ribosomal RNA". It matches the Rfam family "Eukaryotic small subunit ribosomal RNA", at positions 1470 to 1796 of the family's 1831-position model. The record is from RNAcentral.
CCCUUAGAUGUUCUGGGCUGCACGCGUGCUACAAUGAUACAUACAUACAGUAAUCCUAUACAGACAUGUAGUGGUAAUCUUUAAUAUGUAUCGUACUAGGGAUAGACUAUUGUAAUUAUUGGUCUUGAACCAGGAAUUCCUAGUAAGCGUAAGUCACCAACUUACGCUGAUUACGUCCCUGCCCUUUGUACACACCGCCCGUCGCUUCUACCGAUUGAGUGUUCCGGUGAAUUAUUCUGAUCACUUCAUGUGAAAAGUUUUGUAAACCUUAACACUUAGAGGAAGGAGAAGUCGUANCA